AUUUGUAGUUGUUCAUUAGAGGCAGCCGUGGAAUAGGAUCCACGGGUCCCCUCUCGUUUCAUACGCUGAAGGUUACUUACGGCGCUUUCAAAAAGCCAGAGCACAUGUAAAAAGGGCAGUGUUGCCAGCCGUGGUGACACACACUUGUCAUCCCAGCUACUUAGGAAGCUGAGGCAAGAGGAUUGCCAUGCAAAAGAUCAAGACCAUAAAAUGGGGACAACAUGCAAGGGAAACUGAAUUGACGUGUAUGUGUGUGCAGAGUUUACGAGUGACAAGCUGGGAGUAGCCAGGCAUCCUUGUUAGAACCAACCCAGAACUGAAUCCAAGACUGAGUACUUAAUAAGUGACUAAUAGCAGAAAUAAUCAUAAUUAUAAUCAUACAUCCAAGAGAGGGAAGGGCUGACCAUGAGCAUUUAGUUCAAUUAUUUUGACUAGACCUAUGUAGGUAGUGAUUAUUUCAACAAUGAAGAUGAACACCAGUAAUUGUCAAGACUGGCUGACGUUUCUGUGGCCAUACCCAGUUGAGUGAGAUCAUUAUUCUAAUCCUCUUCACACAAUUGGAUAACCUGGAUAAAAUUCAACUUGUGUGAGAAGUCAGUACAUUUUUAAGCCUUAUUAUUUUGUGGUGGUACUGGUGAUUGAACCCAGGGCCUCUCCAAUGGUAGACAAGUGCUCUACCACUGAACUGCAUCCCUGCCCCUUUCA
This 705-nucleotide long non-coding RNA is filed under the name Heterocephalus glaber (naked mole-rat). RNAcentral's name for it is "lncRNA (ENSHGLG00100036756.1)". Lineage: Eukaryota; Metazoa; Chordata; Mammalia; Rodentia; Bathyergidae. The record is from RNAcentral.